AUCUUUGCGCUUGGGGCAAUGAUGCAGCUAGUGAGGUUAUACCGAGGCGCGUCAAUUGCUGGUUGAAAACUAUUUCCAAACCCCCACUUUGGCCCUCACGGGUCAUCGAGAAUUUCUGGAAGGGCUCCCUCUCCUUGGAGAGGGCAAGGCC
This is a non-coding RNA of Triticum aestivum (bread wheat), 151 nucleotides long. The record is from Rfam. NCBI's taxonomy places the organism in Eukaryota, Viridiplantae, Streptophyta, Magnoliopsida, Poales, Poaceae.